Long non-coding RNA from Gallus gallus (chicken), 2060 nucleotides. The record is from Ensembl. NCBI's taxonomy places the organism in Eukaryota, Metazoa, Chordata, Aves, Galliformes, Phasianidae.
GAAAAACUGAACAUGGACUCUGAAAAUGGAUCACCACAGUGAAAUUGUGCUACUUCGGUGACCUCAUGAAUUGUGUGCUAAAGAAGUUUGUGCCUACAAAUGAAGGAAAUUUCAUUCACACUUGAUUAAUUGGAAUCUGGAGAGCAAGGGCACUGAUGAGGAGAAAAGAUGAAGAUCAAAUUCCUGUGGAAAUAAAAUCCUAAAAACUGGGCUAUCAAUCCAACAGGACAGAUUCCUUAUACAAUAGGUGCCUCUUAAAUUAGGUGCUGUAAAUUAACCAGCUCAACUAAACGUAAGCAGGAUCUUAUCACUGUAAUGCACAAUAACGUCUACAUUAUUAAAAUUCCACUAAAGAAAACUUAGUGUGAGAUAAUGCAGACAUGAAUGAUCAUUUAACAUUAAUCCUGAUGACAGCCAUUUCCACAUUGCUAUUGAAAUUCCCUCCUUCCUACAUUCUCAUUUCCAAAUACAAUACAAACAGCAUGCUCUAAUCAAUCAAAUGUACAUUCACCAUAUUUUUUAUACAAGGCCUUGUAUCUCCGAUAUAUAAGCUGCUGACAAUCAUUUAUCUUUCCUCUUGCUUUGUAGUCUCCCUAAAUGAAAGAACAGUUAGAGAAAGUUGUAGUUUCAGCAGUGAUUUUUACAUUUAGAAUUUGUUUAAUGACAAAUUACUGAUGUUAAUAACAGCCAGACCAAAAGAUUGUCAAGUUUAUCCAGCACAGCAACACCUGACUGUGAUUUUAUUGCUUUGAGAUUUGGUCUAAAUCAGAAUAAACUGCUUUGAUCAGCUCUGCAAAUUGAUUCCAUGCUCCAGGACUGCGUCAUAUGAAGUCAGCAUGAGUUUUCAUUAGAUAUAAGAAAAUAAUUUUUUUACAGUAAGGGUGGUAAAGCAUUGGAACAGUUUGCCCAGAGAGGUGGUGGAUGCCCCAUCCCUUGAGAUACUCCUGGUCAGGCUGAAUGGGGCACUGAGUACCUGAUAGAGCAGUAGGUGUCCCUGCUCACUGCAGUAGAGUUAGACUAGAUGGCCUUAAAGGGUCCCUUCAACUCAAAUGAUUCUAUGAUUGUAUGACCACAUGAUUCUGAACUCUCCUCCAUCCUUAAGUGUAUGGACUGUGUUAGAAUGUUAGUCAUCUCAGGCUAUUUGUAGAUGCUGGGUGUUGGAGAAGUGACAUUUAGCAUAAUUCAGAUCACUUAUGAUGUGACUGGUUUGCUGACAGUGUUUGAGUUCUGUGAUUGUAGAGAUAGUUUAGAAUCGUUUAUCACUUAUGUUCAGGUGGGGUAGACUGGAUAGAAACCUGUUUAUAAAUCUCCAAUAGUUAUAGUGAGGGAGCACAAAAAUCUAUAUUUAGGUUAAGCACAUACAUACAUGGCUUACUUUUCAGAGGGGAAUUAUUGGUAAGAGCAGGCAGUAGUUAACACCACCAAGAGCAGAAAUACACUAGAUCACAUUGGCAAGUUGCCUAGAGAUGUCUUACUUCAGACAUCUUAGGUUGGGAUGAAAUUUCAUUCUUUUGGUAUAAAACAUGUAUGUCUAUAAAGUGUGUAUGUAUGUGGUUGAAGGGACCUUAAAACACUUAGUUACUCUUAUUUCAACAAGUCAAUACGGUGAAACGUGUAAUAUGUCAAGAACAAUAGAGAUUAUAAAUAUUUUAUCAAAAUGUGAGUUAUUUCUAAAUAUUAUCUAUCAAAAUAAUUUUACUGGUCUCCAAAGAGGUCAGGAUAAGGGAGGGCAUUUAUUACUAAAAAUAAGAACAGGGCUUUUUUCUGAAAUCUCCCACGCAGAGUAGUGUAAUGGUAUCACUGCAAAUUUUGCUUAGAAGAUCAUUUGAUAUAAAUGUAGGUUUCUUCGCUUUCCACCCCCCUCUCCCUCCCCCCCCCCCCCCCCCCCCCCCAAAAAAAAAAAAAAGCCAGUUUAACAUAGAUACUUCAUGGAAUAAUUUUCUAAAUGCAGACAGCAUUUAAUUCGGUCUCUGUCAGAAGAUGUAUGUGAAGAUUUUAAAAGCUGAGAUUUUAAAUGACGGAGAAAAAAAUAAAACUAACAUUUUUAUCACAAUUAACAG